CCUACGGGAGGCAGCAGUGGGGAAUUUUGGACAAUGGGCGCAAGCCUGAUCCAGCAAUGCCGCGUGCAGGAUGAAGGCCUUCGGGUUGUAAACUGCUUUUGUACGGAACGAAAAAGUCUACCUUAAUACGGUGGGCUCAUGACGGUACCGUAAGAAUAAGCACCGGCUAACUACGUGCCAGCAGCCGCGGUAAUACGUAGGGUGCGAGCGUUAAUCGGAAUUACUGGGCGUAAAGCGUGCGCAGGCGGUUAUAUAAGACAGAUGUGAAAUCCCCGGGCUCAACCUGGGACCUGCAUUUGUGACUGUAUAGCUAGAGUACGGUAGAGGGGGAUGGAAUUCCGCGUGUAGCAGUGAAAUGCGUAGAUAUGCGGAGGAACACCGAUGGCGAAGGCAAUCCCCUGGACCUGUACUGACGCUCAUGCACGAAAGCGUGGGGAGCAAACAGGAUUAGAUACCCUGGUAGUCCACGCCCUAAACGAUGUCAACUGGUUGUUGGGUCUUCACUGACUCAGUAACGAAGCUAACGCGUGAAGUUGACCGCCUGGGGAGGUACGGCCGCGAGUAGAACGUACGAAGAGUAGUAGACGNGAGAGAGACGACGACGGACGACGACGGAGGGAGG
RNAcentral lists this ribosomal RNA (622 nucleotides) under uncultured bacterium. Its description in RNAcentral is "bacterial SSU rRNA". The stretch from base 1 to 542 matches the Rfam family "Bacterial small subunit ribosomal RNA", at positions 338 to 873 of the family's 1533-position model. The record is from RNAcentral.